Molecule: ribosomal RNA, 505 nt
Filed under: uncultured Gammaproteobacteria bacterium
Lineage: Bacteria; Pseudomonadati; Pseudomonadota; Gammaproteobacteria
Description: bacterial SSU rRNA
Rfam family: Bacterial small subunit ribosomal RNA
Source: RNAcentral
AUGGGAUUAGCUAGUAGGUGGGGUAACGGCUCACCUAGGCGACGAUCCCUAGCUGGUCUGAGAGGAUGACCAGCCACACUGGAACUGAGACACGGUCCAGACUCCUACGGGAGGCAGCAGUGGGGAAUAUUGCACAAUGGGCGCAAGCCUGAUGCAGCCAUGCCGCGUGUAUGAAGAAGGCCUUCGGGUUGUAAAGUACUUUCAGCGAGGAGGAAGGUGGUGAGUUUAAUACACUCAUCAAUUGACGUUACUCGCAGAAGAAGCACCGGCUAACUCCGUGCCAGCAGCCGCGGUAAUACGGAGGGUGCAAGCGUUAAUCGGAAUUACUGGGCGUAAAGCGCACGCAGGCGGUCUGUCAAGUCGGAUGUGAAAUCCCCGGGCUCAACCUGGGAACUGCAUCCGAAACUGGCAGGCUUGAGUCUCGUAGAGGGGGGUAGAAUUCCAGGUGUAGCGGUGAAAUGCGUAGAGAUCUGGAGGAAUACCGGUGGCGAAGGCGGCCCCCUGG